RNAcentral lists this long non-coding RNA (648 nucleotides) under Phoenix dactylifera (date palm). Its description in RNAcentral is "long non-coding RNA (PDAC_LNC020003)". The record is from RNAcentral. Lineage: Eukaryota; Viridiplantae; Streptophyta; Magnoliopsida; Arecales; Arecaceae.
ACACAAGGGUUGAAUGGACUAAAGUGAAUUUAAGCUUCAUGAUGGAUCCAGGUUUAAAACCCACCUAACAUGACCAGUUGUUGUGAGCAUCUCCAAAUUUAGAAAGCUUUUUGAGUUGUUAUGAUUAGAUGAAAUAUGCCCCAGUGGGUGGAUUAAGAUGAGCUAUAAUGGCACAAGGCAUUAGUCUAGAAUUUGAAGAGAGAAUUGCAUGUUGAGUGCCCGUCCACUGGUAGGCCCCUCGCCAAUGGAAAGAGCACGAGCACACGAACUCUCAAAAAGUUUAGAAGUCAGGAUAUCUCAGUGAGAUUAAGUCUUCUCGCGAAGCUAGUUGAGGUCAAAGAUUAUGUGAUUGAAAAAUGGAUUGAUUGACUUCUGGAUAAGUGCUCUAAGAGUUACAAUUGGGCUGGGAAAAGAGUCCGGUUCAGUCCAGUCAUUAUAACCUCUUCCAUUGUUAAUCAACAUAAAUAUACACAGGUGUGCACUCUUGUAGUUAAAGAGAGAGAAUACAAAUAAAACAUUAUAUUUGUGUAGUCUGCUUGGUGUCCAUUUAUCUCUCUCCCUUCUAAGUUAUCUUUUAAUACUUGAAAGUGAGAGGUUCUACAGCUAGGGGUGCAAGUCGAGUCGAGUAGCAAGAGACUCGAGCUCAAC